This 553-nucleotide ribosomal RNA is filed under the name Faucicola osloensis. RNAcentral's name for it is "bacterial SSU rRNA". It matches the Rfam family "Bacterial small subunit ribosomal RNA", at positions 35 to 587 of the family's 1533-position model. Lineage: Bacteria; Pseudomonadati; Pseudomonadota; Gammaproteobacteria; Moraxellales; Moraxellaceae. The record is from RNAcentral.
GCUGGCGGCAGGCUUAACACAUGCAAGUCGAACGAUGACUCUCUAGCUUGCUAGAGAUGAUUAGUGGCGGACGGGUGAGUAACAUUUAGGAAUCUGCCUAGUAGUGGGGGAUAGCUCGGGGAAACUCGAAUUAAUACCGCAUACGACCUACGGGUGAAAGGGGGCGCAAGCUCUUGCUAUUAGAUGAGCCUAAAUCAGAUUAGCUAGUUGGUGGGGUAAAGGCCCACCAAGGCGACGAUCUGUAACUGGUCUGAGAGGAUGAUCAGUCACACCGGAACUGAGACACGGUCCGGACUCCUACGGGAGGCAGCAGUGGGGAAUAUUGGACAAUGGGGGCAACCCUGAUCCAGCCAUGCCGCGUGUGUGAAGAAGGCCUUUUGGUUGUAAAGCACUUUAAGCAGGGAGGAGAGGCUAAUGGUUAAUACCCAUUAGAUUAGACGUUACCUGCAGAAUAAGCACCGGCUAACUCUGUGCCAGCAGCCGCGGUAAUACAGAGGGUGCGAGCGUUAAUCGGAAUUACUGGGCGUAAAGCGAGUGUAGGUGGCUCAUUAAG